Molecule: ribosomal RNA, 864 nt
Filed under: uncultured bacterium
Lineage: Bacteria
Description: bacterial SSU rRNA
Rfam family: Bacterial small subunit ribosomal RNA
Source: RNAcentral
UGAGGUGCUUGCACCUUAUCUUAGCGGCGGACGGGUGAGUAAUGCUUAGGAAUCUGCCUAUUAGUGGGGGACAACAUUCCGAAAGGAAUGCUAAUACCGCAUACGCCCUACGGGGGAAAGCAGGGGAUCUUCGGACCUUGCGCUAAUAGAUGAGCCUAAGUCGGAUUAGCUAGUUGGUGGGGUAAAGGCCUACCAAGGCGACGAUCUGUAGCGGGUCUGAGAGGAUGAUCCGCCACACUGGGACUGAGACACGGCCCAGACUCCUACGGGAGGCAGCAGUGGGGAAUAUUGGACAAUGGGCGGAAGCCUGAUCCAGCCAUGCCGCGUGUGUGAAGAAGGCCUUUUGGUUGUAAAGCACUUUAAGCGAGGAGGAGGCUACUUAGAUUAAUACUCUAGGAUAGUGGACGUUACUCGCAGAAUAAGCACCGGCUAACUCUGUGCCAGCAGCCGCGGUAAUACAGAGGGUGCGAGCGUUAAUCGGAUUUACUGGGCGUAAAGCGUGCGUAGGCGGCUGAUUAAGUCGGAUGUGAAAUCCCUGAGCUUAACUUAGGAAUUGCAUUCGAUACUGGUCAGCUAGAGUAUGGGAGAGGAUGGUAGAAUUCCAGGUGUAGCGGUGAAAUGCGUAGAGAUCUGGAGGAAUACCGAUGGCGAAGGCAGCCAUCUGGCCUAAUACUGACGCUGAGGUACGAAAGCAUGGGGAGCAAACAGGAUUAGAUACCCUGGUAGUCCAUGCCGUAAACGAUGUCUACUAGCCGUUGGGGCCUUUGAGGCUUUAGUGGCGCAGCUAACGCGAUAAGUAGACCGCCUGGGGAGUACGGUCGCAAGACUAAAACUCAAAUGAAUUGACGGGGGCCCGCACAAGCG